Long non-coding RNA from Xiphophorus couchianus (Monterrey platyfish), 1682 nucleotides. RefSeq lists it as uncharacterized. The transcript is spliced from 3 exons. NCBI's taxonomy places the organism in Eukaryota, Metazoa, Chordata, Actinopteri, Cyprinodontiformes, Poeciliidae. The record is from RefSeq and is a predicted model, not a curated record.
UGCUUUACUAGCACUGUCCGCCGGGCUAAGCGUUGCUUCUUUUUGUUUUUAGGAAAAUAAUUACAAAAAAUAAAUAAAUAAAAAUUUCAGAAUUUUUUUUUUUUUAAAGCCGGAUUGCGAUCGUCUCCGUUGCUCUCAGCGUUUCACUGGCGGAGCAGAUUUAUUCAUAGAAGAUAGGUUUAUAGCUGAUGCAUUUAAAGACGGAGAGCUGACCAAUCACGUCACUGGUGCCUUUGUGCGCGCGCCUCCUUUCGCUCAAACUGGACACUGGCUGACCUGUAUUGAUAUUUACAUCAACUCCCUGGGAGGAAUUAUGUUUCUUUGGAGAACUCUAUAUCAAGGUAAGAGUAUAAAGCCCAACGCGUUAGCAAGAACCGUGAACCGCAAGAAUAAGUUGGAGUGGGACUUUCAGAGGUGCGUUAAAAGCCCCACUCACCUCUGAAAGCGGUAAGAAUGAUUUAUCUUUGUGGGUGAUGGUAUUCACAUCAACAGACAUAUUCAUACAAAAUAACAGUUAUAACAUCAUUAGAAAACACAUUGUAAUACAAGAUGUAUUUAGUGGCACCUGCAUCCCACCUGAGAGUGUUUCUAACAAGCACCUAACUCUAAACAUCUCUGUGUGUGUUUUUGUUUUACAUCUAAAAAUAUUCUCCAUAAGAAUGUUAAUUACACUCCAGCCUCAUGACACGAGGAUGACUGGAGUCACAAACACCCAGUGGCCCCCAAGCACGUAGUCCCAGGAGUGUCCCAAUAGGGACAUUAAGGUCUUCCUCAGUCUGUCCCUGGGCCAUGUUUCUCUCAUCCUCUGAAAACAAUGAAUCCCUUCAUAAUCUCUAAUUCUCCCUCCCUCUCUGGUGCUGAAUCUGCUCCAGUGGUUGAAGUUUGUGUGGUAAACAUAUCAGUCUGGUUGAUAUAUUUUUUGUGUCUACUUUGGCGCUCUUUAGUGUUUGCUCUCACAGUUUUUCUGGACCCGCUCCACCACAUAUCCCCUCCGAUCUGCUGAAAUAACUAAAUUUAUAUCCUGGAAGGAGAAUGGAGGGAUGGGAAAAGGAGGACUGAGAGAUUUCAUUAUAUUAGUCCAAUGUCCUUCAAGAAAAUCAACCAGUGUUGAAGGUCAAUACCUACACAUAUGCUUCUGUCCAUUCAUAUCUACACAUAUUUUUGAAUAUUAAAUGUGCCUUUCAACAGACAUCACAUCAUGUGGAGUUAUUUGAUCUAAAUCAUCCUUUAAGCACCAUGAUGCUAACAUUAAGAUGAAACGGUGACUUCCUCUUUCUUGUUGUCAGACUCAAAUUAUCAGUAACAAGGUUUUAUUUCAAAAUAAUAGCCGUGAAAUUUGGGUAAAUUAGUUUAUAUAUUCUUCAAAUUAAUUUUUAUUUAUAUAAAGUCAUUUUCUCCUGACAUUUAUUGCUAUCUUCUGUUAUGUUCUACAGACAGUUAGUAGUUACCAUAGCAACCAGUAACUGUAGGCUAGUCCCCUUUUACCAUCUUUAACUCUGGGGCUGGACUGAUGUUAACCACCAGCUUGACCUUCUCUCUUGUUAACCAGCUUGAUUGUGUGUUGUGAAGUCAACCUGAUGGACCUACGACGAACAGAGAAAGGUUACAUAUCCAUCACAUUUACUUUGAAACACAGAAGGUGGUGGUCUGACCUGCUGUUGAUCAACUAAUAUACAUUCAGG